RNAcentral lists this ribosomal RNA (455 nucleotides) under uncultured bacterium. RNAcentral's name for it is "bacterial SSU rRNA". It matches the Rfam family "Bacterial small subunit ribosomal RNA", at positions 340 to 786 of the family's 1533-position model. The record is from RNAcentral.
UACGGAAGGCAGCAGUGGGGAAUAUUGCACAAUGGGCGAAAGCCUGAUGCAGCUAUGCCGCGUGUAUGAAGAAGGCCUUAGGGUUGUAAAGUACUUUCAUCGGGGAGGAAAAACAAAACUAAUAAUUUUAUUUCUUGACGUUACCCGAAAAAGAAGCACCGGCUAACUCCGUGCCAGCAGCCGCGGUAAUACGGAGGGUGCUAGCGUUAAUCAGAAUUACUGGGCGUAAAGAGCACGUAGGUGGUUUUUUUAAGUCAGAUGUGAAAUCCCUGGGCUUAACCUAGGAACUGCAUUUUGAAACUGAAAUACUAGAGUAUCGUAGAGGGAGGUAGAAUUCUAGGUGUAGCGGUGAAAUGCGUAGAUAUCUGGAGGAAUACCUGUGGCGAAAGCGGCCUCCUAAACGAAUACUGACACUGAGGUGCGAAAGCGUGGGGAGCAAACGAGGAUUAGAUACC